Molecule: ribosomal RNA, 459 nt
Filed under: uncultured bacterium
Lineage: Bacteria
Description: SSU rRNA
Rfam family: Bacterial small subunit ribosomal RNA
Source: RNAcentral
AGAAUCAACGCUGGCGGCGUGCCUAACACAUGCAAGUCGCACGAGAAAGUGGAGCAAUCCAUGAGUAAAGUGGCGCACGGGUGAGUAACACGUGAAUUAUCUACCUCCGAGUGGGGAAUAACUGAGAGAAAUCUUAGCUAAUACCGCAUAACACUUACGAGUCAAAGCAGCAAUGCGCUUGGAGAGGAGUUCGCGGCCGAUUAGUUAGUUGGCGGGGUAAUGGCCCACCAAGACGAUGAUCGGUAUCCGGCCUGAGAGGGCGCACGGACACACUGGAACUGAAACACGGUCCAGACUCCUACGGGAGGCAGCAGUGGGGAAUUUUGCGCAAUGGGGGAAACCCUGACGCAGCAACGCCGCGUGGAGGAUGAAGCCCCUUGGGGUGUAAACUCCUUUCGAUCGGGAAGAUAAUGACGGUACCGAUAUAAGAAGCCCGGCUAACUUCGUGCCAGCAGCCGC